UACGAAGGGGGCUAGCGUUGCUCGGAAUCACUGGGCGUAAAGCGCACGUAGGCGGCUUCUCAAGUCAGGGGUGAAAUCCUGGAGCUCAACUCCAGAACUGCCUUUGAUACUGAGGGGCUCGAGUCCGGGAGAGGUGAGUGGAACUGCGAGUGUAGAGGUGAAAUUCGUAGAUAUUCGCAAGAACACCAGUGGCGAAGGCGGCUCACUGGCCCGGUACUGACGCUGAGGUGCGAAAGCGUGGGGAGCAAAAGGG
RNAcentral lists this ribosomal RNA (253 nucleotides) under uncultured bacterium. RNAcentral describes it as "partial 16S ribosomal RNA". It matches the Rfam family "Bacterial small subunit ribosomal RNA", at positions 524 to 776 of the family's 1533-position model. The record is from RNAcentral.